Non-coding RNA from Pelobates cultripes (western spadefoot toad), 272 nucleotides. The record is from the annotation of a GenBank genome assembly. Lineage: Eukaryota; Metazoa; Chordata; Amphibia; Anura; Pelobatidae.
CUGCAGUAUUAAUGUGUUUUGUAUGACAUUCUGCCUUGGCAGUUUACUUUCAUGAUUUUUCUUUUCACUUGCAGUAUAGUCGGGAUUUCUUCUGGUUCUGGCGGUUUCUCGUUUGGUUGUACCUUCUACAUAUUGACUCAGUUGGAUUUCAUGCUCUCCUGCUCCACCCCAUCAAAGAAAGAGGAAAUGGGAUGGUCUGCCUGAUAGUUUUAUCGUACUUUUGUUCUGAUUGGUUGUUUCUGAAAAGUUAUGUUAACUAUUUCUUUGCUGGA